GCUGGCAACCCUAUUAAUGCAAGUCAUCUUGGAUAUUACAUUUUACAGGGAAUAAUUUCAGAAUAGAUAGUAUUCUGUUUGGGACCUGACUAGAAAGACUGCUCACGUAUUUCAUCCUGCCUUGCCCAACCAUUUCAGACUGAAAAUGUUCCUGUAUAUUUACAAGAUGUGCUGACUUUUCAAGAACAGGCUGGGGACUUCAAAAAGAAGAUCCACACCUAAACAGCAUCAGUUCAGCAGCAGCCUGACUCCUCUUCCAGACAAGAGAUCAAACCUUAUGACUGAAUCUAUAUUAGGUCAUUUACCCGACUGCCUUUGCCUCAACCCAGAUGAAAGGGUCCUUUCUUGGUCAUCCUCACAACAGCAGCUGUCACAGCAUCCAGUGUGUUGAUUCAGCAAUAUAGGUCCCUAUUUCCCACAUCAGGAAAAUCCACACUGAUGGGGGAGAGCCACCUGGAGAUGCCAGAAACAACCAAGGGCCAUUAGGAUAAGGAGCAGCUAUGCCAUGACCCAACCUGCUGUCAUUGGAUGAGAAGAUUAUGUGACCUGAUGCCACCUGUGAUGUCAUCAUCCAAUGAGUCAGAUUACCUGACUUUAGAUAAGUCAUGCAAAUCAAAAGACAAAAUGCCUCAUAAACAUUAUACCAUAUACAGAAGGUCAAAUGUAUUUGGAGUCAUCAAAGUAAUCAUCGAGCCAGAAUAACUCACUUCUGCCUAUAAUUCCUUGGAUAGCAACUGCAAUUAUUUCCAUUUCAACAUACUGCAACUUUAUAAUUAAUGUUACAAUCAGCUUUGUAUUGCUGAUGCACUUCUUACUUCCUGAACAUCACAAGUACUGUUUUUCUUCUACCAAGAGAAGUGUAAAAGACUGGCAUCCUUACUACCAAAACUUUAAAAAUGUCAAACUGCUGGGUAUGUUCUGCCAUUACUUCUGCUCAUGAGGUAGGAGUACCCAUGGCAUCCAUCCUGUACAAUUCAUCAAAAUACCCAGUCUUGUGAUCUGCAGAUGUCAACCACCAGGAAGACAACA
Long non-coding RNA from Protopterus annectens (West African lungfish), 1029 nucleotides. RefSeq lists it as uncharacterized. The transcript is spliced from 3 exons. NCBI's taxonomy places the organism in Eukaryota, Metazoa, Chordata, Ceratodontiformes, Protopteridae. The record is from RefSeq and is a predicted model, not a curated record.